UGCCUCAGCCUCUCUGGUGCAACAAUUUCC
Molecule: non-coding RNA, 30 nt
Filed under: Mus musculus (house mouse)
Lineage: Eukaryota; Metazoa; Chordata; Mammalia; Rodentia; Muridae
Source: RNAcentral